AAAUGUAUGUUUUUAAAGUUUUUAAAAUGUAGUUUUAUUUUUUCUAAUAAAUGUUUAUCCAGUUCGACCUGUGGUGGUUUCUCUGAGUCCAGCUAAGUAGCCUUGUGUUGCACUUAUUGUCUUUUACGAUUUCCAGGUGUGAACUUUAUUUAUUUAUUUGAAAAAAAAACUCACAUUUUUUUUAUAAUCUGACUGCUUGUUCUAAAUGGCUUCUCUGUUUCGUCCUGCGUUUAGUGUCUUCUGAUCUUCUAGACCGGAUGCAUCUCAUUUUAAGUGCUAGUAAGCGACAGAUGUUUUUUUUUUUUUUCGUUUACGAUGUCCUAGUACAUAAAACCUCAGCACUGAAAGUGGGUUUUCUCUCUUUUUCUCCAGUGCUGUAAUCCAUCACCUACUAAACUUGAAUAUGUAAGAGGAUAAAAAGGUUGUAAGAUCUAUUUCUGGAGCUCCUGCCAGGGUUUCUAGAGGAUGACACAAUUUCCUUCAAGUCUGCAUCUUGUCCCCCAGAGAUAUGGGCGCUCCUUCCGCUCACACCACAGCGCCCCAACCCCCCCACCCUGGUCUGUCACUGGCACCCGACCCAACACACCAGAAGGCACCUGAAGACUCGCAGACUGAGAGCCCUGCGAGCCUUGAAGUCACUGACCCAUUCCAAACUCACCCCCUGAACCGAGGCUUGGCACUCCGGGGAGGGAGGGGGGGGUGAGAAGGAGCAGGGUGGGGGCAUGAAAGCGAGCGCGGUGCUAGGAGGCCUGGCGCUGGCUGGAGCGCCUGGGCUUUUGCGGGCAGGCCUGAGUGAACACGUCAGGUCGAUUUAUGUGACGCCUGACCCCCCCAGCCGACCCCGGGCUGGACUCCACCUGUCCUUCAUCCAAGCAGCCCUCAUUCCUCCGCUCCGCAUGGCCUAAACGGCUGCCAGAACACUGAAGGAGGAGCAGGAAGAAACGGAUGGAGGAGUGGAAGGUGAAGUUAGGUCAGCGAUUAAUGAAGUUCGAAAGACCGGAAGAUCAGACGACCAGUUAUUGGAGCAGAGAGAUGACCAGGUGUAAUUUCUGCUUAUCUCAACCUUUCACAGACAAAUCUUUUUACCAGCUUCUUAGUAUGGAUUUACUUAAGCAGAAUUAAUCACUUCUGGUUGAUACAUAAAGACCUAAUUUUAAAACACUUCAUGUUUAUGGUCAUGGAACGAUCAAUCAUCGACUCGUCUUUUUUCAGAUUUAUCGGACUCUCAUUGGUGCUGGAUUUACACUGGUCCGUCUUCAUUGCAUUGUGAGUCCGCCUCAUGACCAUCAGUUUACAUUGUCUUCAUUGCGUCUCUGGUCCGUUCCCUCCUCCACUCAAGCUUCCAGAGGAGUGGUUUGUCUUGCUCUUGUCAGUCAGGCCUCAUGUCCUCUCCCCCCUAACUAAGUCCUUGUAAAAUUCAAUGUUUUUGUACUUCCAAAAUUAAACUUUCGUCAUCUGUGUCAAAAAUUGACAGUGUUAUCAGACCCGCGUUAUUGCAUAGGCACUAGGGAUGAGUAUCGUUAAGAUUUCAUCAAUACUACUCUUCUUUGAUACUGCUUAGCGAUCCGGUAUUCUUAUCAAUACCUUUCUGUGUGAAAACAAGGAGGGAGAAGGCAAACAACAAACUACAUAAAUGAAAACCUUUUACUUUGUCUAAAAAAUUAGAAAAAAAAUAUUAAUGUCCUUUGCAACACUGCUUCAUCCUGCUUCAUUUCGAAGUUGACAACUGUACAAGAUUAAAAAGGUGCUGAAAUGGGCAAAGACAUGAAAAAAGAAUCCAUUGAUCACCAAUGUCUUCAAUUUUCUCUUCUGAGCACUGCCCAUUUCAGUCAAAGUCUCCUCUACUGCCUUGGCAACAUUGUGGAAAUUUUAGAGAACUGGAGCUUAGAAGGUGUGUAACAGUGUGGAACCCAAAUUCCUUUAUCACUUGUGUUUCCCUUAUGUCAAGCUGUCAGACUUAGGACAGAUUGAUCAAAUUCAGCCAUAAAAGCUCAGUGACCUCGCCCCACACAUUCCAUAAGUGACAACAAUGGAGAUUUUAUAAACUCCAGAGUUUGCUCAUUGAGGAAAACAUCUUAAUAUAUUCGGAGAACAUUUUUUAUUGGAAUAACUUCCAGUCAUGUUCAGUACAAAAAAUGUUAAGUUAGGGAUGAGAGUAUAGCAUGCAUAUUUACAGUUUACAGACAUAAAGAUUACCUAUACCAAGAAUUUCAUUUGCAAAAUUAAAAAAAAAAAAUAUGAUUAUGUUUUAUGAGUUUAGAUCUAAACCCUCAUUGUGUCUUUUGGUGAGUUUCCUCCUGGAACUCAGAACAAACAGUCCAAACUGGCUCCCCCUUGGGUGGGGGGUAGGCCCCGCCCUCCCAGCAGGAAGGGUGAUUGGGUUGUCUGGGCGUUCCAGCAUCUGCCCAAGUGGAAAGAGCUGAAAUGAAGGAGCUCAUUGGCUAUCGAUAGCCAAUUACCUGAUGAGAAUGUGAGGCUCCAACUCCCAGCCUGCGGUCUACAGGAGCCUCUUUGAGGUCUGAUGAUGGUUGUUUUCAGCAGGAUUAUGGUCAAUGUAAUUAUGUCCAUCGAUGGUCGGCUGCAGAAUGAUUCAGAGUCACGCUGUGAGCUCCUUAGUAGUAGAAGGACUUCGUUUAAAAGCUUUGAUUGUUUCAAAUUGACAUGGUAAUCUGCUCCAUCUGUAGAAGAAUUUUCUGACACAUUUUUCAUGAACUACAUGGUGUGAUAUUACAUUUAUGGCAAAUGCUCCCUUGAAAUAUGUAUUUAUGGAUUGAAUAGUUUUAAGAAGUGAUUCAAUAUUCUGAUUGUAUUGUACAAUUUAUUGUAAAGGUUCAAAUCGUAAGGUUUCUACAAGUUUUGUGUGUGUGGCCCAUUUUGGUAAUCCACCUCAUAAUAAGAGAAAUAAAUAACUCAUAAUCUGGACGGAAACAUUGUUUAGUCUUUAUGGAAAAUAAAUGUAUGCACUUCUUAAAGCAGAACUUUUUGAAGAUUUGUUUGGACUUUUGGAGAGUCAACACUGUAGCAUCUGUUCUUAUUUUACCACCAUUUGCACCAAUGGGUUGAUGUCCAUAAGGGAAAAUGCAAACUCAGAGAAAUGCUAGGUUCAUGUAGUGUUUGAAUUAUUGGAAAAAUACCUGUCCAAUACACAUGAACGUCAGAAAAUCACCCAAUCCUAGCCAACAGAGCCAAGAGGGCCCCACAUGGCUGUUUCUAGUCCUUCUUUGUCUUGUAUUGUUGGGAUGAACAUGAACUUGCAUAACUUUA
Long non-coding RNA from Oryzias melastigma (Indian medaka), 3264 nucleotides. RefSeq lists it as uncharacterized. The record is from RefSeq and is a predicted model, not a curated record. NCBI's taxonomy places the organism in Eukaryota, Metazoa, Chordata, Actinopteri, Beloniformes, Adrianichthyidae. The transcript is spliced from 2 exons.